This 1787-nucleotide long non-coding RNA is filed under the name Bos grunniens (domestic yak). RNAcentral's name for it is "lncRNA (ENSBGRG00000011625.1)". The stretch from base 33 to 106 matches the Rfam family "mir-1247 microRNA precursor family". The record is from RNAcentral. Lineage: Eukaryota; Metazoa; Chordata; Mammalia; Artiodactyla; Bovidae.
CGCCGCUCGCCUCGGCCGGCGCAGCCCCGGCCGCCGGGCGCACCCGUCCCGUGCGUCCCCGGACGUCGCUCUCUGCCCCGGGAACGUCGGGACUGGAGCGCCCGCGCUGAGCCACCUUCACCGACCCAGAGCGCUGCGGCUCGACUCACCACGGAGGCGCUGGGACGCGGGGAAGUGCGUACUCUCAACGGGGAAUGUGUGUGGAGGCUUUUAGGGGUGCGGGGUAACUCCCCAACUCCAUGGGGGCCCUGGUCGGCUCUGCCGCCGCGUCCGAGAUCUGAUGACUCGCUGCGCGCGGCGCGGGGUCGGCGACUUGGGGCGGCGGGGCGCAGAGUACCGUGACCUGGGGGGUCCCCGAAGCUGGGAGCCAGGUCGCCUCGCCUCGGGCCUCCUUGACCCCUGGGGCGAGGCCUGAACCGGGUCGAGAGCGAUCUUGAUGCCGGGGGAGUCCAGCCCGCCUGGGACGCUCUCGCGGUCGUGGGGACUCGUCUGGGGCGGCGGUGGCUGAGCCCGAGUCCGGCGCCGCCACCGCCGGCGUCCCGUGCGCUCGCUACCCGCCUGGGGACCGGCCGCCUAACUUCUUCCCGGGACGGACACAGCGCUCGCAUCCCGGGCAGAGGUGGAAGCUCGCUGAUCCGGAUUCGGCGAGGGCACCGCUCUCGGCGGCGGCGGCGGCGAGGGAACAAGUCUCGGGGAGUCAACCUAGGGCACCAAGCCCCCACCCAGGACCCGGCGGGCCCCAGCGGGCGCGGAGAGAGAUGCGCGUUUCAGGCAGAGGUCCUCUCCUCCGGUUUUCGCGACCCUGGCGGGACCCUCUGCCCUGCAAACUCCCACCUGGGACCGCGGCUCCGGCAGGUCAAGAUCCCUAGUGGAAGGCAGGUCAGGGGCCUGAAGGUAGACCCUUUUCUCUUUCUCCCAGCCAGGCGAUGCCCCUGCGGCCUGGGGCGGCGGCGUUGGGUGCUGCAGAGCCCGGGAACUUCCCACCCAGAGGAAAGGCCGCUUCAUCCCGGACCCCGCUGUUCUCCGCGCCCCCGGCACUGCCCAUCAGCACCGUGGGUAGGGGUCUUUAGAGCCUCUGCGGGCAGCCCAGGGAGACCACCAACCCAUAGGCCCUUGGGCCCCAGGGAGGCUCAGGUGAGCAGCGCUUGUCCUCCGGACUGUUGGCCGUUCUGGCGGAUCUGCUUCUGUUCCUCGGGCCAGCCGGCUCCACCCCGCGUCUCUGGAUUCCGGGACAUCGGACAUCUGGCUCCCACCACGCCUUGUGCAGCUGCUGCCCAGACUCUGCCUCUCCCAGGCCGGCCCAGCCAGGAUCCUCCGCAGUGACAGCCUGCCCCUGCGCCCCGAGGAAUCCAAUAAACCUUUGUGAAACCAGCUACCCGAGUGCAGUGUGGACUUAUUGGAAACAUCUAAUUUCCAAACAUUUCAUCCUGCCCUUCUGCACGCUGGCGGGCAGCCCUAAGCAAGGUAGGGCGUGUCCGCGGCCGGGCAGAGUGAGGUCUUCGAGGACCUGGGACCCGGGGGCACACAGUCCCUGGGAGAUCCCCUUCGGGCAGAGCGUCUGGCGAAUCCCCUCAUCCCCCUGGCCGCUGACCUUCCUGGGAGUCCUCUCACGGGAACCCGAGAACCCCCAUGGCGGGGCGGGGGGAGGGCUGUGCUCACCCUUUGCUUUUGCUUCAAAGACGCUUUUUUCUUUCUGACUCGACCUCUUCCGACUCGGCUCGGUUCGGCUCAACAGGGUGGAUGCGCUGCUGGUGGGUGGCGGCUGCGGGCUCAGCGGCUUCCGGGCU